This 467-nucleotide ribosomal RNA is filed under the name uncultured bacterium. Its description in RNAcentral is "partial 16S ribosomal RNA". It matches the Rfam family "Bacterial small subunit ribosomal RNA", at positions 28 to 507 of the family's 1533-position model. The record is from RNAcentral.
GACGAACGCUGGCGGCGUGCUUAACACAUGCAAGUCGAACGGAAAGGCCCUGCUUUUGUGGGGUGCUCGAGUGGCGAACGGGUGAGUAACACGUGAGUAACCUGCCCUUGACUUUGGGAUAACUUCAGGAAACUGGGGCUAAUACCGGAUAGGAGCUCCUGCUGCAUGGUGGGGGUUGGAAAGUUUCGGCGGUUGGGGAUGGACUCGCGGCUUAUCAGCUUGUUGGUGGGGUAGUGGCUUACCAAGGCUUUGACGGGUAGCCGGCCUGAGAGGGUGACCGGCCCCAUGGGGCUUGGGGAGCGGCCAGGAGCCCAUCGGGGAGCAUGGGGGGGAAAUUUUGCCAAACGGGCGGAGUGCUGGAGGAAGACCCCCGGGUGGGGAAGAACGGCUUUCGGGUUAGAAACCCCUUUCGCUUGUACCCAGGCGUGAUGACGGUAAAUGGGUAAAAAACCCCGGCUAAAUUCGUG